UACGUAGGGUGCGAGCGUUGUCCGGAAUUAUUGGGCGUAAAGAGCUCGUAGGCGGUCUGUUGCGUCGGCUGUGAAAACCCGAGGCUCAACCUCGGGCCUGCAGCCGAUACGGGCAGACUAGAGUUCGGCAGGGGAGACUGGAAUUCCUGGUGUAGCGGUGAAAUGCGCAGAUAUCAGGAGGAACACCGGUGGCGAAGGCGGGUCUCUGGGCCGAUACUGACGCUGAGGAGCGAAAGCCAGGGGAGCAAACGGG
RNAcentral lists this ribosomal RNA (253 nucleotides) under uncultured bacterium. Its description in RNAcentral is "partial 16S ribosomal RNA". It matches the Rfam family "Bacterial small subunit ribosomal RNA", at positions 524 to 776 of the family's 1533-position model. The record is from RNAcentral.